This 440-nucleotide ribosomal RNA is filed under the name uncultured bacterium. Its description in RNAcentral is "partial 16S ribosomal RNA". It matches the Rfam family "Bacterial small subunit ribosomal RNA", at positions 338 to 795 of the family's 1533-position model. The record is from RNAcentral.
CCUACGGGAGGCAGCAGUGGGGAAUAUUGCACAAUGGGGGAAACUCUGAUGCAGCGACGCCGCGUGAGUGAAGAAGUAUCUCGGUAUGUAAAGCUCUAUCAGCAGGGAAGAAAAUGACGGUUCCUGAUUCAGAAGCUCCGGCUAACUACGUGCCAGGAGCCGCGGUAAUCCGUAGGGGGCAAGCGUUUACCGGAUGUACUGGGUGUAAAGGGCGCGUAGAUGGCAGCACAAGGCCGGAGUGAAAUGCCGGGGCUUAACCCCGGAACUGCUUUGGAAACUGGGCAGCUUGAGUGCAGGAGAGGUAAGUGGAAUGCCUAGUGUAGCGGUGAAAUGCGUAGAUAUUAGGAGGAACACCAGUGGCGAAGGCGGCUUACUGGACUGUAACUGACGUUGAGGCUCGAAAGCGUGGGGAGCAAACAGGAUUAGAUACCCGAGUAGUC